AGAUGAAAUGUUAGAAAUUUCUGUAGGUAUGGAACCCGACAAUGUAUUAUCACCUAGAACAAGCGUCUCCAAUCUGUGAAGGUUCCCAAUCUUUUCAGGUAUUCCACCUAUAAAAUGGCAAAGCACUUUUGUGUUAGCACUAGUAAAUAAUCCACGUGCUUUGCACGUGAGUAUAGUAAUCCAAAAAUAUUAUUUUUGUAGCUAAUAAAAUUUGUUGUGAAAGUUUUGACAAUCUACCUCAUAAUAUAACUUAUGUGUAUUUUUUAAUUUCUCUAACUAAUUUUGGCUGCAAGUAUAUUCAAAUUUUGAACUCUUUGACCACAAGCUAUUAGAACUUUUUUUUUGAGCUUUUAUUGAUUAAAUUUGGAUUGAACUUUAAUAACAAUUAUUAACACUAUCAUGUUUUACCAAUGGUGUUGUGAUUUCCCUUAAAUUAUAAAAUUGCACAUUUUUGUAUAGUUCAAAAUCAUGUUAUUAAAAUGAAAUAUAUAUGCACAUAUCAAGUUUGGGAGAAGCAAAUCUAAUUUGUAAGUGUAUUAAAAUUUUAAAAGGAGUAUUAGAAUGCAACAUGAAUUGACUUAUUAGAUCUUUAUCAUUUUGAUUAUUGUACUAUACAUCUACUUUUCCUUCCUCUGAUGCAUUCGCAAGCUCUCUUAUCGGUCUAGAUAUGUCUUUUUCCGAUUGAAAGUAAAAUCUAUGAUAAACCUUCUACUAAAAUUAUUAGAUUUUAACAACCGAAAAACUAAGAUUUGGAUAAAUUAUUAAACACUUCCUAAAUAGUAUUUGCAAUAUCAAUACUUAUGAUUACUAAUUAUUUAAUUGUAGACUUACAAUCAGUUAAUUACUUAAGAAUAAAAUAUAUGAAUGGUAUUUCUUUUUUCUUUAGCUUGAGUUUUCUACAAUUUUCAUUUCAUAUAAAACCUAAUUCUCUGGAGGGUAGAUGAUUAUUAUUUAUCAUGUUAUAGGAGUUGAAUUAGUUAGCUUUUUGAUGAAGUUCUUUAGUAUGAAGUGAGCUGCAUUACUUUUUAAAUUUUUUUGCACCAUUUUUUGAAUUGUCUACAUAUAUAUUUUUUUGUAUAUGAACUCUCUGUAAUUAUUUAAUUCACAAGGGUAUGUUUAAUCCAUCAUAUUUAAUUAUUUCUGUGUGAAUGUUCAUUGUCAUCAAUUGAGAUUUCAUUGACUGCAGUAGUUGAGUAUUCUCUUUUCCAUUUAUCUUCUAUUGUUUUUAUAAUUUUGUUUGAAGACAAUGCAACAUAAAGCACAGACAACAACUAUUCCUUUUCUACACUAAUCUGAUAAAUGGCAUGUUCAAUAUGGAUACGUUUAAAUUAAUCCAUAGAUUUUUUUUUGGAUUUUUUCCUUUUUGUCUUAGACGAUAAAACUCUAAUUGUGAUAUCAAAAUUAGUUAGUUGAUUGUAGGUGAAAUAUAAGAAAAUUUUUUAUUGUUUGCUUGGAUUUGGGUGACAUGAAUUGUCAUUUCAAUUGAAACUAAAUUGUUUGCAUGUUUGUUAGUUGCAUGAACAUUUAAGUGCUUUCUUUUAUAUCAUGUUAAUUGUUUAGCAUUUCAAUUUUUAUAUGAAUUUGAAUGGGAUAAAGUGAAGUGUAAUAUUCAUUGAAUUUGGACUAUUUACAUUUUAUCUAAGUGUUUUUCUUAUUAAUAGAGAAUGUAAAUUAUUCAUAAUGCUCAAUCAUUUUGGAUUGGUUAUUUAAUUUUUAGUUAAAAUUCAUUUGAUUGAAAUAGUUGGGUUUUAUAUUUUACUUUUUUUUAUUUCUUCAUAUUGGUAAAAAGUGCAUAAUUGUGAAAUUUUGUUCGUGAUAUUUCUAUGAAAAUAUACAAAUGCAUAAGGGCUCUCUUUUUCUUGUAUGUUUCUCUUUUUUUCCAAAGAGUAUCUAUUUUUUGAAAUUGAUUUUUUUUUUUACAAUCUCAAAUAAUGACUAAUGAGAAAUUUUUCAUGUUUCGAUUAAAAAAUUUUGAUAUGUAUAAUAAUUGGAGAUGUUGUCCAAGGUUAGGUAAAUAGUUUUUAAUUAUAAUUACCAAUACUAUUGAGAUGUAAUCAAUUGGAAAAUUUUAUUUCUUUUAAUUAAUGUUACAUUGAAAUGCAAUAAUUCUAAUUAAAAGACAAGAGGGUAAUUUAGGGAUAACAAAAAUUAAGAUAAAAAAGUGCUUACACUCCCUAAUACCAAGAUUCAUACUUUUUAUAUAAUAAUGAUAAUGAUAAUGAAAUGAUAAUAUUGGUCCUAUCCAACAAGGCUCUAAAUUUAAAAAAUAGAUAUUAAUAGAAGGUUAUAGGACCUCCCUGAUCCUUCUAUUCGUUGCUUCAAAAUUGAUCUCUCUGAACAUUAAAUCCAUUAGAAAGAAAUGCUGAUAUCAAUCAACUGAACAUAAGCCCAAGCAUCCUACGUACAGAUCAUAUUGAUGUUGAGUUUUAACGACCGUCUACAGAAUGAAGACCUUAUGAUUAGGAACUAAGACAUACCUGUCAAUUUGUUGCUUUGAAAAUAUAAACUCGUCAACCAAGCUAAAUUCCCUAUUUCCAUUGGAAUUGCACCUACAAAAUUGCAACUUUUGUGAGUUUGAUUUGAUUUAUAAUGAAAAAAUAUAGUAACAAACAAUGAUGUGAUUUUUGGACUUUCAAAUGCAUUAAUUAGAAACGAUUGUGUUCCUUUUACCCUAUAGCCAACGGUUUAAGCAAUUAAGGCCAUGUAAUUAGAGGUUUGGCAUACCACUCAAUUUGUUGACGGCAAAAUCUAAAAUGGUCAGCAUGGUUAGAUUCCCUAUUUCAUUUGGAGUUGCACCUGCAAAAUUGCAACUUUUGUGAGCUUGAUUUGAGUCGUAACGAAAGCACAUAAUAGCAACAUUAAUGAGACUAUUGAACUCUCCAAAUGCAAUAAUUGGAAAUGAUAAUAGAGUGUCUAUUACAUUAACAAACAAAGAAUAUAGAACUAAUUACAUUUACCUUCCUUUUUUCUAAGGCCUUUUUUUUAUAUUUUUAAUAUAAGUGGGAGGGAUCAAAUCCACUCCCUCUUGCUUACACUUCCUCCCCGGGAUCAUCCAAUCCAUCUGUCUCCCUUGCAUUCACCUUCUUUGAGGUUUAACCAAAUUAUAGAUCACACCUUCAAUUUUGGCAACAUUAUGGCCACCCUUGUCAGUGAUUAAACAAGGAAAAUUAAACAGAGCUUUUUUCCUAUUAAAUUCCUAAAAACAAGCGCUCCACGAAAACAAGAAGCAACUUCCAUGUCAUCCCAAACUAUUGAGAGAUUAUUAAAAUUCAACAAGGAUUUACAUAAAAGAAAAAAGAAAAAGAAGAUGAAGAUAGUAAAUUCCAAACUAUUCAGGAAAUGGUUGCAUACCUAAUUUGUAUAUAGAAAAAUGAAAAAACCAAACCCAUAAUUAUUUAGCAAACAAAUGACCACGGGAUUGUGACAGAUAUAGUUGUUAUAUUUCUUCGAUAAUUUGGUGUAUGCUUUGUAUUGAAACAUUAAAUUGAUGUUCAUAAAUAAAAUUUUUAAGUACAAUAAAAUUAUAUAAACGCACAACAUCUUAUGCAAAAAAAAUAUAUAUAUAUAUACAACAACUAGACAAGUAUAUGAAAAUCCAGUAGUAUGUCGUGAACGCAAGCGGCAAUUGUUGUUUCCUAUUGUUUUACUUGUAUUUUGAGUCAUUUAAAUAUCGCUACGUUCAAAUUACAUUGCAGGCCAACAUUAAAGUAAUUGUGAAUUCUUCUGCGUCCAGUAUCUCUUCAAAAGAAUUUCAUCCAGUCUCUUUGCAUACGAGCAUCGAUUUAGCGUAAACCAAACCGUAAGGAUGCAAAUUUAUUUGUUCUCAUCUCCAUUUAGCUGUCAGUCUGUCAUACACAUCUAUCCUCAGCGCGGACAAACAGCACCCGUCACCCAUUUAGGCCCGUCAAUGGGCCGGGUUCGAGUCGAAAUUCAUUAUUCUAGAUCCGGACCCGGCAUAUCAUACCGAACCCGAAUCUGACCAGUUUAUCCGACGGGUCUUGGAUCGGGGUCGGGUCUAUCCGAAAAAAAUUAUCAAAACUUACAAUUUCUAAUAAAAAUGAGAAAAAAAUAUAUUUGUAAGCUAAUUUUUAACUACUACCAAAAAAACCAAACAAGAAAAGAAAUCAAAUUGAUUUUACUCAAAUACAUCACCCCUAAUCUAAUUAUAUUGAUAAAUAUAUAUAUUUUAAAUUAUUAAUCCAUUUAUAUCCGGAUCCGGAUCUAAUACGGGGUGAAAUACUAUAUUCCGUAUCUGACCUGUUUUUUGUUUGACAAAAUGGAUUCGGAUCCGAGUCCGGAUAACGGAAUUAAAUCCCUACCCGUACCCGCAAAAAUUUCACGGAUCCGAUCCGACUCCGGGUUUAGACCCGGACCGUUGACAGGCCUACCCCAUUCAGACCCCAUAGAAGAAUGGGAGAGGGGCAGGGACGGUUAAGCUAAUGGACAAGAUUUGAUCACCAAAAUUUGUAAGGUCCAGAUUUUAACAUGUGUGAGACCCACAAAAUAUUGCACUAGUAUUACUCACUGUUGUUCUAGUGUUACAUCGUGUACAAAUGAUGUUACACCAUAUACAAAAUGCACACAAGCUUUCGGAACGGUUGCACUGACAACCGUUCCAGCCCCGAGUCCCAGAAGAACAGAACAGAAGGGGCGCACCUUAGAGGGGCAUCUUGGUCAUUUACUGUUCGAAGGGGAGUGUAUCAUAACAUAAUUAGUCCUCAUUUCUCUCUCUUCUUGAUGAGUCGACUCCUUUCUUCUUCUUCCCCUCCUUCUCUUGCUCUGCCUAAUUCUAUUCUUAAUUCCUUAUCUGAAAUAACUAAAUUGAUCUCUAAAGACUUGAAGGCUUGACACUGCAUUUGACCCUGGUCGAACAGCCAUCACUCCUGGCCCCUACUGCAGCAUCUUGCUUUUCAUCUUAGUUGUUGUAAGCCUCCAAUCCAAUGGAUUCCUACUCUCGCACAACUACUUGGUUCAAUCUACCUCCUUCAACCUUAGGUCGGCCUUUUGUCGGAAAGUAAACCCCCAAAUCCUUCAACUAUUACUCCUUCUAUCUGAUUCCUAAAUAGUCUACCAUUACCAUAACUUGCCAAAUAACAACAAUUACCCUGCUUGUUCUUCAACUACGCCACCAAGUUGCUCCUACCUCUGCUCACCUUCCUAUGGAUCUGUAUGCGAUAGUUUACUGGGGUGUGUGUUUGUGUGUGUUUAUAUAUUUGUGUGGUAAUGUCCAUAGAAUGGUGUUUUUAUGUGAAAGUUACAUGAAGAUGGUGAUAAAGAAUGGGUCAAAUGAUGAGAAAAUUGUAAGGGGAAGAUGACGAUGGUGAAUUUUUUUUUUUUUUAUUUUAUGUUUUGAGAAUUUCAGGUUGGCAAGGGUAUUUUAUGGCCUAAAUUUCAAUUAUCAAAUUUAACUUCGAUUAUCUUUUGCUCAUGAACUUCUCAGACUAAAGAUUUUACUUCAAUGGUGAAAAGAUGGACAUGGGAGAAAGGAUAUGUUGGUAACAGAAAACUUGGUUGAAUAGAGAGAAAAGAAAGGUUGGGCUUCAGGGUAUCAUCGGACUUCUAUUAAAAAAUAAUAAUGCUAACGUUAAUAGAGUCAUAAUAUAACGGUUAAUCUUAAGAGUUUGUUAGGCCUCAGACGGUAAAGGCGUUUAGAUUAUAAAUCUGUUUGGAUGUGGGACAUUUUGGUAAUACUGACAAAUUUUAGGGUCUAUCUUAUAAUUGGAUCAAACUUUGGAGAGGUGAAUUGUAAUUAACAAAAGAAUAUAUGCAUAGUCAUACAUAAAAGUGAAUGUCUAUGUGGGUGUAUGUAUGUGUAUCCCAAAAUCCAAUUACAUGAUUAAAUAUUUAAGGUUGCAUUUUUUAUUUGCAUGAAGUCUUAGAGCAUGAUCCACAAGGGAGAAAGGAAUGGUUUGAGUAUGGAGAAAGGAGAGUAUAAAUGAGAAGUUUCGAAUUUAAAAUCUCUCACUUACACUAAAACAAAAAAAGUUUCAUAAAAAUUGAUCCACAAGGAAUUGUCCAGGAAAACCACAAAAAUAAAAUGAUGGUAUAGUUUUUUUUUUUUGUAGUAAAAUAUGCUAGACUCACCAAACUUUUCAAAAGUCUCAUUUGAUCCAUUGACCUAUUUUUUAUACCAAAUUAUUUACUAAAUCUUUUAAAAGUCUCAUCUUAUCCAAUUAGCUAUUUUUUGUACUAAAUAGCACACUAAAUUUUUAAAGCGGUUCAUUUUUUUAACUAUUUGUUAAAUUUUGUUAUUAAGGCAGUUGCAAGUUUGCUAUUUAGUACAAAAAAAAUAGUUUAGUGACUAAAAUGAGACUUUCGAAAAGUUUAAAGGAUUAUUUGGUAAGAAAAAUAGUUUAGUAGAUAAAAUGAAACUUUUAAAAAGAAUGGUGAUAUCUGACGUACUAUUCUUUGAAACGUCCAUACAAAAGAACAGGGGCAUGAGCUUAAUAUACAAUUAUAAACCAUAUACAAGAAGAAGUAUAAGCUUAAUAUAUAGUAUUUAUAAAAUAGGAAUAAAAUUAUUACCUGUUAAAUUGUUACUCCCCAGGUAUAGUCCCUCCAGCAUUGUCAAGUUCCAAAUUGCCUUAGGUAUGGAUCCACUUAAAUGGUUCGAAGCCAAGGAAAACUGCUGAAGCAGUGAACACUGAGAUAAUGUUGAAGGUAUUUGACCAGUCAAAUUAUUACCUCCUAGACCAAGCCAGGUAAGUUUCUGAAGGCCGUGACAGAUGUUGUCUGGAAGAAUGCCAGAUAACCUGUUGCUCAUAAAAGAGAUGGCUUGCAACGAGGAAAUAUUGGAGAUGUGGAGAGGAAACGGACCCGAAAGCUGAUUCUGCUC
Molecule: long non-coding RNA, 6835 nt
Filed under: Coffea arabica (coffee)
Lineage: Eukaryota; Viridiplantae; Streptophyta; Magnoliopsida; Gentianales; Rubiaceae
Description: long non-coding RNA (CARA_LNC001921)
Source: RNAcentral